This 67-nucleotide transfer RNA is filed under the name Rasbora jacobsoni. RNAcentral describes it as "tRNA-Cys". It matches the Rfam family "tRNA". From Rfam's summary of the family: Transfer RNA (tRNA) molecules are approximately 80 nucleotides in length. Their secondary structure includes four short double-helical elements and three loops (D, anti-codon, and T loops). Lineage: Eukaryota; Metazoa; Chordata; Actinopteri; Cypriniformes; Danionidae. The record is from RNAcentral.
GGCCUUGUGGUGUAACACAUAUUAGACUGCAAACCUAAAGUAGCAGAUUAGAAAUCUGCCGGGGCUU